CUAUACAUGCAAGUGGAACGCAUGAUUGAUACCGGAGCUUGCUCCACCAUUAAUCAUGAGUCGCGAACGGGUGAGUAACGCGUAGGUAACCUGCCUGAUAGYGGGGGAUAACUAUUGGAAACGAUAGCUAAUACCGCAUAAGAGUCGUUAACACAUGUUAAUGAUUUAAAAGGAGCAAUUGCUUCACUAUCAGAUGGACCUGCGUUGUAUUAGCUAGUUGGUGAGGUAACGGCUCACCAAGGCUCGAUACAUAGCCGACCUGAGAGGGUGAUCGGCCACACUGGGACUGAGACACGGCCCAGACUCCUACGGGAGGCAGCAGUAGGGAAUCUUCGGCAAUGGGGGCAACCCUGACCGAGCAACGCCGCGUGAGUGAAGAAGGUUUUCGGAUCGUAAAGCUCUGUUAUAAGCGAAGAACGGGAGUAAGAGUGGAAAGUUUACUCUGUGACGGUAGCUUAUCAGAAAGGGACGGCUAACUACGUGCCAGCAGCCGCGGUAAUACGUAGGUCCCGAGCGUUGUCCGGAUUUAUUGGGCGUAAAGCGAGCGCAGGUGGUUUAAUAAGUCUGAAGUUAAAGGCAUUGGCUCAACCAAUGUACGCUUUGGAAACUGUUGAACUUGAGUGCAGAAGGGGAGAGUGGAAUUCCAUGUGUAGCGGUGAAAUGCGUAGAUAUAUGGAGGAACACCGGUGGCGAAAGCGGCUCUCUGGUCUGUAACUGACACUGAGGCUCGAAAGCGUGGGUAGGCGAACAGGAUUAGAUAC
RNAcentral lists this ribosomal RNA (761 nucleotides) under Streptococcus hyovaginalis. RNAcentral's name for it is "bacterial SSU rRNA". It matches the Rfam family "Bacterial small subunit ribosomal RNA", at positions 49 to 785 of the family's 1533-position model. The record is from RNAcentral. Lineage: Bacteria; Bacillati; Bacillota; Bacilli; Lactobacillales; Streptococcaceae.